Molecule: ribosomal RNA, 465 nt
Filed under: uncultured bacterium
Lineage: Bacteria
Description: partial 16S ribosomal RNA
Rfam family: Bacterial small subunit ribosomal RNA
Source: RNAcentral
CCUACGGGAGGCAGCAGUGGGGAAUUUUGCGCAAUGCUCGUAAGAGUGACGCAGCGACGCCGCGUGAAUGACGAAGGCCUUCGGGUCGUAAAGUUCUUUCGACAGGGAAGAAAAUGCCUAUAAGUAACUGUGUAUGUAUUGACGGUACCUGUAUAAGCAGCCCCGGCUAACUCCGUGCCAGCAGCCGCGGUAAUACGGAGGGGGCGAGCGUUGUUCGGAGGGACUGGGCGUAAAGAGCACGUAGGCGGUGUUGUAAGUCAUUAGUCAAAGACUAGAGCUCAACUUUAGUAAGGCUAGUGAUACUAUAAUACUAGAGUAUGAGAGAGGAUUGCAGAAUUCCUGGUGUAGCGGUGAAAUGCGUAGAUAUCAGGAGGAAUACCGUUAGCGAAGGCGGCAAUCUGGCUGGAAACUGACGCUGAGGUGCGAAAGCGUGGGUAGCAAACAGGAUUAGAUACCCUUGUAGUC